Molecule: ribosomal RNA, 497 nt
Filed under: uncultured bacterium
Lineage: Bacteria
Description: partial 16S ribosomal RNA
Rfam family: Bacterial small subunit ribosomal RNA
Source: RNAcentral
GACGAACGCUGGCGGCGUGCCUAAUACAUGCAAGUAGAACGCUGAAGCUUGGUGCUUGCACCGAGCGGAUGAGUUGCGAACGGGUGAGUAACGCGUAGGUAACCUGCCUGGUAGCGGGGGAUAACUAUUGGAAACGAUAGCUAAUACCGCAUAAGAGUAGAUGUUGCAUGACAUUUGCUUAAAAGGUGCAAUUGCAUCACUACCAGAUGGACCUGCGUUGUAUUAGCUAGUUGGUGAGGUAACGGCUCACCAAGGCAACGAUACAUAGCCAACCUGAGAGGGUGAUCGGCCACACUGGGACUGAGACACGGCCCAGACUCCUACGGGAGGCAGCAGUAGGGAAUCUUCGGCAAUGGACGGAAGUCUGACCGAGCAACGCCGCGUGAGUGAAGAAGGUUUUCGGAUCGUAAAGCUCUGUUGUAAGAGAAGAACGAGUGUGAGAGUGGAAAGUUCACACUGUGACGGUAUCUUACCAGAAAGGGACGGCUAACUACGUG